CAAUAAUUUUAAUUGCUGUCACUGAUUAACAGCCACAAACACAGAGGCAGAGCAGAAACUCAUCUAUGAUUCUUCCAAUAAAUAUAUACCUCAAACAUUUAUUUGGCCUUGCAGUAAAAAAGAGCCUGUUACAAGGAUUUAUCUGAACUUUAUCUGCAGUCUGAGCAGACUAACAAAACAGGACAGGGCUUGCUUUCAGUUUUUAAAGACAAGAAAACAAUAUUUGGCUUUCUAGAACAAAACAAAACACAGAGAGAGCUGGGAAAACUGGCUUUGCUGGGUCCUUUGCUAAAUCUUUCCCCCAUCUUUUCUGAACCAUCCGAAACAAUUAUUUUGCUAUUAAGUGUAGUCAUGGUAGUGGGAGGACUAAGUGGAUAGUAUCUCUCUCUCCCUACUGCCUUUUUAAGACUCUUUAGAGAAUUUUCAGAAGAUGUUUCCAUCUCAUGUAAUUUGAACAGGUUUUUUUUUCCUAGUAAGAUUUAUUACAUUAUCCAUUUUAACUCUAUUCCUUUUGCAAACGACAAAUUAUGUCAUGUUGUUAAAAAGUAAAAUUAGAAUCAGCAGCAAACCCCCCAAACAAUCUGAGGUUUUCUGAGGGAAAGCUGUAAGAUAAGACAGGGAAAAAAAGGCUUCUUAUGUUACUGACUUGCUCAGGGCAGCUGAAGACUGAUGUGGCAUCUGAUGUAAUUUUAUCCCAGGCUUUGCCUGGAAAUUGAUGUCUUGCUUACACCCAUGACAAAGCCUAAAGUGCAGUGCACUAAGCUAACCCACCACUUGGCCAUUUUUAUCUCUGCUGUGCUGGAAGGAGGGACAAGACUGACACAGCUCCUUCACUGGAGGAAUCCUUCAUACUGCAAAUGUGAGACAAUAAGGGGAAAUCUCUCCCUCCAGAGCUGUUGCACCACUGAGCCAGUCACCCUCUCGGUACAGAAGAAACCCUGGUAUCAACUAUGGUGUUUCCUGAGGGGAAAUGUUACAAUGUGACCUCGAGUUCAUGGACGCUGAGGAGGCGCCAAAAGCUUCUGGCCAAGGUGUGCUCCUCUAGCCUUUGACAAGUGGGCUCCUGGAGAGGCGUGGAGCUGCUGCUACUGCCCAUCACUUGGAGCACAGGCAGCAAGUAUCGACAGCACACUCGGAGUUCAGGACCGAACCCUGUGUCCCACAGAGCCAUGCUGACCUCUGCAAAUGGAGUAUGCCUCCCCAAGAGGGGCAGACUAAAGAAGGCUGAAUUGGCACAAGUGCUUCUACCAAGAGUAAAUUGCUCCCUGGAAAAAAUUUAUCUAUGAAUUUGAAUAUCAUGUUAAAUGAGCAAGUUCAAUUGAAAUCUCAUCAUACCCUUUGCAUCCUGCCCUUGGGGAGUAUGCUAGCACAACCUGCUCUGGAGAGCCCUGUCCACAGCCAUGGGCCAGCCGGUCAAGGUGUUUGAGUGGCAUCCACGCUGCACAGCACUGAGAUGCCCUCGGCACCCAUCCCAUCCAUAAGCACUUCUGGUGCUCCUGGAAAAUGAGUUGUGUGUCCCACUGCGUGUUGCUGGCACAUAAGGAGAUUCUGGUGUCAGAGUCCACGCUGAUUGACGAUAUGUCCUGAAGUUGCUGUCUUCCUCCAAAGCUUCUGUGAAACCUCAGGUGUGCUCCUCAGAGGAAUGCCCAAGCAGAAUAUAUCCCAUCUGAUGAGAUACCUUCAAUCAAAAGUUUACCAUUUGCAAAAGAGAAAGAUACAAUUGAGUAUCUGCCAAGACAAAACAACAGCUGGGUAACUUGCAUCAGUCUGUGCCUGGCCACGUCAUUGCACAGAGAUGUGCUAUCGACUUUUUCCCCUUCCUGACAACUCAGACUCUUUGAAUAGAGGAAAUCUAUUUGUGAACAAUUUUAAAGUAAGUUGUUGAGAAGGUCGUCUUCUGGUUGAAAGGAUCAACACCCUAAUAAUGCAGGAUUGUUGUCCCGUAAGUACAAGAAAAUACAUUCAAGGUCACGUACUGCCUGUGUCCCCCCGUGUCACCCAGGGCUGUUACUACGGUGCAUGUACGCUUGUCUGAGCCAGCAGUGUGGCACGCCAGGGUGGGGUCCAGCGCAGGCUGCAAACUCAUCCAGGAGCCAGGGUGGAUGUGUAGACCCAGGCAGCACGUACUUGGCAUGAGCAACAGUUUUUGAUUGAACUUUACCUCUCCUCCACUCACCAAAGAACACUGUGAAGUCGCUGGCACCGUGUCAUUUAAGAUUUUAAGCAGCUCAGAAGAAAUUUAAAAAAUCAAGGAAAGGGUCCUUGGAAGGAUAAGGGAAGGAACAUAAUAACAGCUGAGGAUGGAAAAGUAACCACCAAAGUAAGCAAAAGCAUUAUGAGAACUGGAAACUGGAAGGUGACACAAACAAAAGGCCUGCAAACAAGACUCCCAGGUCAUCUGGCCAACAAAUUCCUGAAGCCCUUCCAUAUUGGAAGUUGCAUACCUCUGUUUACUUUUGCAAAAUUUUGUACUUUGUAUAUCCCACAAAUCUUGCCUGCUAGAAGACAGACUGUCUUUAUCCUGUUUUCUGACUGCUCCAUUGCCCACUACUCUGGUUUAUAAUUUUGGCAACAAAUGAUUGCAGGGUUUACUUAUAUUGCCUCAUUACAUGCGGCACUGCUGCACCAGCUAGCAUCUAUCCAUGCUAGCAAACCGAAAGCCAGUCUAGGCAUGCCUUUCCCACCUGAGGUUAAAUCUUUGACUGCCUUGUGGGAUCUAAGAAUUAUACUGAAAUACUUUCAGUAUGUGGUCCUUUUUCUCUCUUAGAAAAACAGGAAGAAUUUUUUUAACAGUACUUUUGUGCCUAUUUUCAUAAUUGUCAGGGGUCAAAAUAUUCACCUGAAUUAGUUUAGUUCAACGAAACUCUUCAGCUUCAAAGAGCACAGGACAGUAUGGACAGUAAAAACUGAUGGUUUUGACAUUGUAUUAGCUUUUUGUGAAAUAAAGCUAUUGAAACUCAGGCCUUUAGAGCUCAGUGGAAUUAAAAAAAAAAAAAAAAAGGCAUUAUGAGUUUGCUUGUAUACUUGCCUUCCUACGGUUCUAUUUCCCUUUGCUUCAUCUCUCUCUGCAGGCUCAAGGGAGCAGAUCCUUCCAUGUUUCAAGUCGGCACAGCUCCACAAAACAGCUGUGCCAAUUACUUCCCAUCGGGGACUGCUGCUGGGUGUGUAGCUGCUUGUACUGAAGUUGUUGCAAUUACUAUCAUUAUGUUAUUUCUUGGCAAGGAAUGGAAAAAGAUGAGUGAGUGUUUGGGGGGCUUUAAGUGCAGCAGGCCACUUACUCAUGCAAACCACUGAGAGCAACUGGAAGGAAGCACAGUGAGGAGUAAACUUUUUGGAAAACCAGCUCUCAUAUUUAACUUGGUAAGGAGACAAAGCGUUUUCUUAAUGAAACCUAAUAAACUCCAGGUCUGCCAGUUCCUUCAAAAAGGGAAAGCAUUUUUCAGUGUGUUAGAUUAACACUGCAGUACCUAUUAUGCCCUCGCUUUUAUGCAGCUUAUGGAGAUCUUUACCACAGCUCCAGCCUGCAGGAGCUACUUGUGUAAUGCCAGUGCUGAGAAAAACUGUCACAUGGCUUACUUCCAUCUGAAAAACAACAAAUUCGAAGAAUUUUUUUCAAGUAGUCUGUAACGCUAUUCAAACUCUUUUGAUCCUGAAGCUGGGAGGGGAAUUCUUCUGUAGACACAAAAUUAGAGUGGUCUGAAAGCAGCUUAUUUCAUCUGGCAGCUGAUGGUUUGAAGGAUUGAAAUUUUACCUAGCUGAGCAUACACAAAUGUGGCACCCUUUGUAUGUGGAAAAACUCCCAUACCUUUGUAUAUCAACCUACCUUUGUAGGUUUGUACCCCACAGACAAAGGCUGUAUUACAGCUAGUCUAGAUAUUGUAUCCCAACCAGAUCAAAAUACCCUGUUUCCCCAAAAGUAAGACAGGGUCUUAUACAAUUUUUGCUCCAAAAGAUGCUUACUUUUUUACAUGUAUAGCUGCCUGCACACUAUUUAAAUUGACUUUUUAAAUGAACUGUAGGUAGGGCUUAUUUUUGGACUAGGGCUUGUAUUUCGAGCAUCCCCAAAAUUCCUGAAAACUCAUGCUGCUGGGGUUGGUCUUAUUUUUGGGGAAACAGGGUAGCAUGUGUUCUGAAGAUGAUUUAGUUUUUAAU
This is a long non-coding RNA of Columba livia (rock pigeon), 4152 nucleotides long. RefSeq lists it as uncharacterized. The record is from RefSeq and is a predicted model, not a curated record. The transcript has 7 exons. Lineage: Eukaryota; Metazoa; Chordata; Aves; Columbiformes; Columbidae.